This 764-nucleotide ribosomal RNA is filed under the name Acinetobacter baumannii Canada BC-5. RNAcentral's name for it is "bacterial SSU rRNA". It matches the Rfam family "Bacterial small subunit ribosomal RNA", at positions 28 to 787 of the family's 1533-position model. Lineage: Bacteria; Pseudomonadati; Pseudomonadota; Gammaproteobacteria; Moraxellales; Moraxellaceae. The record is from RNAcentral.
AUUGAACGCUGGCGGCAGGCUUAACACAUGCAAGUCGAGCGGGGGAAGGUAGCUUGCUACCGGACCUAGCGGCGGACGGGUGAGUAAUGCUUAGGAAUCUGCCUAUUAGUGGGGGACAACAUCUCGAAAGGGAUGCUAAUACCGCAUACGUCCUACGGGAGAAAGCAGGGGAUCUUCGGACCUUGCGCUAAUAGAUGAGCCUAAGUCGGAUUAGCUAGUUGGUGGGGUAAAGGCCUACCAAGGCGACGAUCUGUAGCGGGUCUGAGAGGAUGAUCCGCCACACUGGGACUGAGACACGGCCCAGACUCCUACGGGAGGCAGCAGUGGGGAAUAUUGGACAAUGGGGGGAACCCUGAUCCAGCCAUGCCGCGUGUGUGAAGAAGGCCUUAUGGUUGUAAAGCACUUUAAGCGAGGAGGAGGCUACUUUAGUUAAUACCUAGAGAUAGUGGACGUUACUCGCAGAAUAAGCACCGGCUAACUCUGUGCCAGCAGCCGCGGUAAUACAGAGGGUGCGAGCGUUAAUCGGAUUUACUGGGCGUAAAGCGUGCGUAGGCGGCUUAUUAAGUCGGAUGUGAAAUCCCCGAGCUUAACUUGGGAAUUGCAUUCGAUACUGGUGAGCUAGAGUAUGGGAGAGGAUGGUAGAAUUCCAGGUGUAGCGGUGAAAUGCGUAGAGAUCUGGAGGAAUACCGAUGGCGAAAGCAGCCAUCUGGCCUAAUACUGACGCUGAGUACGAAAGCAUGGGGAGCAAACAGGAUUAGAUACCC